GUUUUUGUAGUUGAAUAACAACAGUGGUUUUUCAAGCCAUCAGUCCUGGUUAGACCCCUGGUAGAAACU
Molecule: transfer RNA, 69 nt
Filed under: Atrobucca nibe (blackmouth croaker)
Lineage: Eukaryota; Metazoa; Chordata; Actinopteri; Sciaenidae
Description: tRNA-Glu
Rfam family: tRNA
About the family: Transfer RNA (tRNA) molecules are approximately 80 nucleotides in length. Their secondary structure includes four short double-helical elements and three loops (D, anti-codon, and T loops). Further hydrogen bonds mediate the characteristic L-shaped molecular structure. tRNAs have two regions of fundamental functional importance: the anti-codon, which is responsible for specific mRNA codon recognition, and the 3' end, to which the tRNAs corresponding amino acid is attached (by aminoacyl-tRNA synthetases). tRNAs cope with the degeneracy of the genetic code in two manners: having more than one tRNA (with a specific anti-codon) for a particular amino acid; and 'wobble' base-pairing, i.e. permitting non-standard base-pairing at the 3rd anti-codon position.
Source: RNAcentral